RNAcentral lists this ribosomal RNA (2893 nucleotides) under Escherichia coli. Its description in RNAcentral is "bacterial LSU rRNA". It matches the Rfam family "Bacterial large subunit ribosomal RNA". The record is from RNAcentral. Lineage: Bacteria; Pseudomonadati; Pseudomonadota; Gammaproteobacteria; Enterobacterales; Enterobacteriaceae.
ACUAAGCGUACACGGUGGAUGCCCUGGCAGUCAGAGGCGAUGAAGGACGUGCUAAUCUGCGAUAAGCGUCGGUAAGGUGAUAUGAACCGUUAUAACCGGCGAUUUCCGAAUGGGGAAACCCAGUGUGUUUCGACACACUAUCAUUAACUGAAUCCAUAGGUUAAUGAGGCGAACCGGGGGAACUGAAACAUCUAAGUACCCCGAGGAAAAGAAAUCAACCGAGAUUCCCCCAGUAGCGGCGAGCGAACGGGGAGCAGCCCAGAGCCUGAAUCAGUGUGUGUGUUAGUGGAAGCGUCUGGAAAGGCGCGCGAUACAGGGUGACAGCCCCGUACACAAAAAUGCACAUACUGUGAGCUCGAUGAGUAGGGCGGGACACGUGGUAUCCUGUCUGAAUAUGGGGGGACCAUCCUCCAAGGCUAAAUACUCCUGACUGACCGAUAGUGAACCAGUACCGUGAGGGAAAGGCGAAAAGAACCCCGGCGAGGGGAGUGAAAAAGAACCUGAAACCGUGUACGUACAAGCAGUGGGAGCCUCUUUAUGGGGUGACUGCGUACCUUUUGUAUAAUGGGUCAGCGACUUAUAUUCUGUAGCAAGGUUAACCGAAUAGGGGAGCCGAAGGGAAACCGAGUCUUAACUGGGCGUUAAGUUGCAGGGUAUAGACCCGAAACCCGGUGAUCUAGCCAUGGGCAGGUUGAAGGUUGGGUAACACUAACUGGAGGACCGAACCGACUAAUGUUGAAAAAUUAGCGGAUGACUUGUGGCUGGGGGUGAAAGGCCAAUCAAACCGGGAGAUAGCUGGUUCUCCCCGAAAGCUAUUUAGGUAGCGCCUCGUGAAUUCAUCUCCGGGGGUAGAGCACUGUUUCGGCAAGGGGGUCAUCCCGACUUACCAACCCGAUGCAAACUGCGAAUACCGGAGAAUGUUAUCACGGGAGACACACGGCGGGUGCUAACGUCCGUCGUGAAGAGGGAAACAACCCAGACCGCCAGCUAAGGUCCCAAAGUCAUGGUUAAGUGGGAAACGAUGUGGGAAGGCCCAGACAGCCAGGAUGUUGGCUUAGAAGCAGCCAUCAUUUAAAGAAAGCGUAAUAGCUCACUGGUCGAGUCGGCCUGCGCGGAAGAUGUAACGGGGCUAAACCAUGCACCGAAGCUGCGGCAGCGACACUAUGUGUUGUUGGGUAGGGGAGCGUUCUGUAAGCCUGUGAAGGUGUGCUGUGAGGUAUGCUGGAGGUAUCAGAAGUGCGAAUGCUGACAUAAGUAACGAUAAAGCGGGUGAAAAGCCCGCUCGCCGGAAGACCAAGGGUUCCUGUCCAACGUUAAUCGGGGCAGGGUGAGUCGACCCCUAAGGCGAGGCCGAAAGGCGUAGUCGAUGGGAAACAGGUUAAUAUUCCUGUACUUGGUGUUACUGCGAAGGGGGGACGGAGAAGGCUAUGUUGGCCGGGCGACGGUUGUCCCGGUUUAAGCGUGUAGGCUGGUUUUCCAGGCAAAUCCGGAAAAUCAAGGCUGAGGCGUGAUGACGAGGCACUACGGUGCUGAAGCAACAAAUGCCCUGCUUCCAGGAAAAGCCUCUAAGCAUCAGGUAACAUCAAAUCGUACCCCAAACCGACACAGGUGGUCAGGUAGAGAAUACCAAGGCGCUUGAGAGAACUCGGGUGAAGGAACUAGGCAAAAUGGUGCCGUAACUUCGGGAGAAGGCACGCUGAUAUGUAGGUGAAGUCCCUUGCGGAUGGAGCUGAAAUCAGUCGAAGAUACCAGCUGGCUGCAACUGUUUAUUAAAAACACAGCACUGUGCAAACACGAAAGUGGACGUAUACGGUGUGACGCCUGCCCGGUGCCGGAAGGUUAAUUGAUGGGGUUAGCGGUAACGCGAAGCUCUUGAUCGAAGCCCCGGUAAACGGCGGCCGUAACUAUAACGGUCCUAAGGUAGCGAAAUUCCUUGUCGGGUAAGUUCCGACCUGCACGAAUGGCGUAAUGAUGGCCAGGCUGUCUCCACCCGAGACUCAGUGAAAUUGAACUCGCUGUGAAGAUGCAGUGUACCCGCGGCAAGACGGAAAGACCCCGUGAACCUUUACUAUAGCUUGACACUGAACAUUGAGCCUUGAUGUGUAGGAUAGGUGGGAGGCUUUGAAGUGUGGACGCCAGUCUGCAUGGAGCCGACCUUGAAAUACCACCCUUUAAUGUUUGAUGUUCUAACGUUGGCCCCUGAUCGGGGUUGCGGACAGUGUCUGGUGGGUAGUUUGACUGGGGCGGUCUCCUCCUAAAGAGUAACGGAGGAGCACGAAGGUUGGCUAAUCCUGGUCGGACAUCAGGAGGUUAGUGCAAUGGCAUAAGCCAGCUUGACUGCGAGCGUGACGGCGCGAGCAGGUGCGAAAGCAGGUCAUAGUGAUCCGGUGGUUCUGAAUGGAAGGGCCAUCGCUCAACGGAUAAAAGGUACUCCGGGGAUAACAGGCUGAUACCGCCCAAGAGUUCAUAUCGACGGCGGUGUUUGGCACCUCGAUGUCGGCUCAUCACAUCCUGGGGCUGAAGUAGGUCCCAAGGGUAUGGCUGUUCGCCAUUUAAAGUGGUACGCGAGCUGGGUUUAGAACGUCGUGAGACAGUUCGGUCCCUAUCUGCCGUGGGCGCUGGAGAACUGAGGGGGGCUGCUCCUAGUACGAGAGGACCGGAGUGGACGCAUCACUGGUGUUCGGGUUGUCAUGCCAAUGGCACUGCCCGGUAGCUAAAUGCGGAAGAGAUAAGUGCUGAAAGCAUCUAAGCACGAAACUUGCCCCGAGAUGAGUUCUCCCUGACUCCUUGAGAGUCCUGAAGGAACGUUGAAGACGACGACGUUGAUAGGCCGGGUGUGUAAGCGCAGCGAUGCGUUGAGCUAACCGGUACUAAUGAACCGUGAGGCUUAACC